RNAcentral lists this long non-coding RNA (570 nucleotides) under Homo sapiens (human). Its description in RNAcentral is "non-protein coding lnc-TRUB1-3:1". The record is from RNAcentral. Lineage: Eukaryota; Metazoa; Chordata; Mammalia; Primates; Hominidae.
AACUUUUCUAAGCCCCAGUCUACUCAUUUAUAAAGUGGGAUUAUUAAUAAUGUCUACUUCAUAAAAUUAUGAAGCCUGAGUUAGGUCAUUCAGAUAGUGUUUAGUCUGAUUCUUCGAACCUAGUAAACAGUCAGUAAACAGAAGCAAAUGCCACAUGCCUGAUUUAUAUCCAAGGGGAGAAAGGUAAAAGUGAAAUUUUCAUGAUUUAUGGAUUCAAAUUAUACAUUUCAAAGAUGCUUUAUAAGCUAUUGUUUUGGUAAGAAGAAUUGAGCUGAAACAGAAUUUUCUGACAGCAGUGAUUAUUAAAUGGUGAAAUAGGCUAUUGAUGUCUUUAGAGGAUAUAGAUGUUCACCUUUUGCAUAUAAGUGCACAAAAAUUCACUAAGUAGAUAUGUCUGUCUACACAGAGAGAGAGAGCGUGAGAGCAUUAAAGUUAGUAAACAUCCCCCUCGCUUUUUUGGUGCAAUCGUGGCUCACUGCAGUCUCAACAUCCUGGGCUCAAGCGAUCCUCUCGCUCAGCCUCCUGAGUAGCUGAGGUGUUGAGGUUUCACCAUGUUGCCCAGGUCUCAAA